This 71-nucleotide transfer RNA is filed under the name Drabescoides nuchalis. RNAcentral describes it as "tRNA-Gln". Lineage: Eukaryota; Metazoa; Arthropoda; Insecta; Hemiptera; Cicadellidae. The record is from RNAcentral.
UUGUAGUAUAGUGUAAAAUGCACACGAAUUUUUGGUGUUCGUAGAUUGAGUUUGAUUCUUGAUAGUACAAU